GGGGGGUACCCAACCUAUACGCAGACCCAUUGAGCAGCCAGACUGCCCUAAACAGGGCCAUGGAGUCCUUGUCCCUUCUAAGAGCUGUGGACACCUUGCCUCCAGUUCCCCUCACAGUCCUUUCUUCCUUCUGCAGUGAUCACUGAGUACCUGUGUGAAUGCCAACAAGAAAAAUAAAACCACAGUUUGGAUUCAGGAAAGGUUGCACCACCAUCAGGUCUUGAAGGGAGCUUCGGCUGGGGCAUCUCCCUGAGAAGCAGCAUGGAGCAGCCUAACAGUAAAGGCUAUAGCCUGGGAAGGACCCCUCAGGGCCCAGAGUGCAGCAGUGCUCCUGCAGUCCAAGCGGGGACCCACAGGGGCCUAGAGUAUAACCCGGGGAAGAUUCUUCCAGGAUCAGACUAUGGGUUGGGAAAUCCUCCAGCCCUUGACCCCAAGCUCCCACAUUUACCCCUGCCCCCGGCCCCACCCACACUCUCAGACUUGGGGCAGCCCCAGAAGUCACCCCUGACAGGCACUGAUAAGAAGUACCCGCUGAUGAAGCAGCGUGGGUUCUACUCCGACAUCCUCAGCCCUGGAACCUUAGAUCAACUUGGGGAGGUAUGUCGUGGCCCCCGAAUGAGCCAGAACCUCCUGCGGCAGGCUGACCUUGACAAGUUCACCCCAAGAGUCGGAAGCUUUGAGGUUCCUGAAGACUUCCAGGAGCGCAUGGAGCAGCAGUGCCUCGGGUCCACCACCCGGCUGCUCGCCCAGACUGACUUCCCACUGCAGGCCUACGAGCCCAAGAUGCAGGUGCCUUUCCAGGUGCUGCCAGGCCAGCGUCCUCGCAAGAUUGAGAUCGAGAGGAGGAAACAGCAGUACCUGAGCCUGGACAUUGAGCAGUUGCUGUUCAGCCAGGGCAUCGACUCCAACAAGCUCAUGCCCAGGCACCUGGACCCCCAGCACCCCCAAACCAUCGAGCAGGGCCAUGACCCAAUCUUCCCCAUCUACCUCCCACUGAAGGUAUUUGACAAUGAGGACUUUGACUGCCGGACUCCCAGAGAGUGGAUCAACAUGGGCUUGGAGCCAGGGUCUCUGGACAGGAAACCUGUCCCGGGAAAAGCCCUCCUGCCCACUGAUGACUUCCUGGGGCAUGAGGACCCCAAGAGUCAGAAGCUGAAGUACAAAUGGUGCGAGGUCGGCGUCCUGGACUACGACGAGGAGAAGAAGCUAUACCUGGUACACAAGACAGACGAGAAAGGCCUGGUGCGAGAUGAGAUGGGGAGGCCCAUCCUGAAUGCAGGGGUCACCACUGAAGGAAGGCCACCCCUUCAGGUCUGUCAGUACUGGGUGCCACGGAUCCAGCUUCUCUUCUGCGCUGAGGACCCUUGCAUGUUCGCACAACGUGUGGUCCAGGCCAACGCCCUGCGCAAGAACACGGAAGCGCUGCUGCUCUACAACUUGUAUGUGGACUGCAUGCCCUCUGACGGCCAGCAUGUCAUCAGUGAACAGAGCCUGAGCAAGAUCAAGCAGUGGGCCCUGAGCACGCCUCGGAUGCGCAAAGGCCCCUCGGUUCUAGAGCACCUCAGCAGUCUUGCCAGAGAAGUGAGCCUGGACUAUGAGCGCAGCAUGAACAAGAUCAACUUUGACCACGUUGUCUCUUCUAAGCCCGAGACCUUCUCCUACGUGACCCUCCCCAAGAAGGAGGAGGAGCAGGUGCCUGAGCGAGGGCUGGUGAGUGUCCCCAAGUACCACUUCUGGGAGCAGAAGGAGGACUUCACUUUUGUGUCCCUGCUCACACGGCCAGAGGUCAUCACGGCCCUCAGCAAGGUGAGGGCCGAGUGCAACAAGGUGACUGCCAUGUCCCUGUUCCACUCGAGCCUCUCCAAGUACAGCCACCUGGAGGAAUUUGAGCAGAUCCAGUCACAGACCUUCUCCCAGGUGCAGAUGUUCCUCAAGGACAGCUGGAUCAGCUCGCUAAAGGUGGCCAUGCGCAGCAGCCUGCGCGACAUGAGCAAGGGCUGGUACAACCUCUACGAGACCAACUGGGAGGUGUACCUCAUGUCCAAGCUGCGCAAGCUGAUGGAGCUGGUGAAGAACAUGCUGCAGGACACACUGCGCUUCCUGGUGCAGGACUCACUUGCCAGCUUCUCACAGUUCAUCAGCGACACCUGUUGCAGUGUGCUCAACUGCACCGAUGACAUGGUCUGGGGUGAUGACUUAAUUAACAGCCCCUACAGGCCCCGGAAGAAUCCCCUGUUCAUCGUGGACCUGGUGCUGGACAGCUCUGGGGUGCACUAUAGCACCCCACUGGAGCAGUUUGAGGCAUCUCUGCUGAACCUCUUCGACAAGGGCAUCCUGGCCACCCAUGCCGUGCCCCAGCUGGAGAAGCUGGUGAUGGAGGACAUCUUCAUCAGCGGUGACCCCCUGCUGGAGUCCGUGGGCCUUCAUGAGCCACUGGUGGAAGAGCUACGGGCCACCAUUGCCAGUGCCGUGUCCAAGGCCAUGAUCCCACUGCAGGCCUACGCCAAGGAGUACCGAAAGUACCUGGAGCUGAACAACAAUGACAUUGCCUCCUUUCUCAAAACCUACCAGACGCAGGGCCUGUUGGCCCAGGAGGUGCGGGAGGUAGUGCUCACCCACCUGCGGGAGAAGGAGAUCCUGGACAGCUCGCUGCCCAGCAGCAUCAUCAUUGGGCCUUUCUACAUCAACACCGACAAUGUCAAGCAGAGCCUGUCCAAGAAACGCAAGGCCCUGGCCACUUCCGUGCUGGACAUCCUUGCCAAGAACCUGCAUAAGGAGGUGGAUAGCAUCUGCGAGGAGUUCCGCAGCAUCAGCCGCAAGAUCUAUGAGAAGCCCAACAGCAUUGAGGAGCUGGCUGAGCUGCGAGAGUGGAUGAAGGGCAUCCCGGAGAGGCUGGUGGGCCUGGAGGAGCGGAUUGUGAAGGUCAUGGAUGACUACCAGGUCAUGGAUGAAUUCCUCUACAACCUCAGCUCAGAUGACUUCAAUGACAAAUGGAUUGCCAGCAACUGGCCUUCUAAGAUCCUUGGGCAGAUAGAGCUGGUGCAGCAGCAGCAUGUGGAGGAUGAGGAGAAGUUCCGCAAAAUCCAGAUCAUGGAUCAGAACAACUUCCAAGAGAAGCUGGAAGGGCUGCAGCUGGUAGUAGCUGGCUUCUCCAUCCACGUGGAGAUUUCACGUGCACACGAGAUCGCCAACGAGGUGCGGCGUGUCAAGAAGCAGCUGAAGGACUGCCAGCAGCUGGCCAUGCUCUACAACAACCGCGAGCGCAUCUUCAGCUUGCCCAUCACCAAUUAUGACAAGCUCUCCAGGAUGGUGAAGGAGUUCCAACCCUACCUGGACCUUUGGACCACAGCGUCUGACUGGCUGCGCUGGUCGGAGAGCUGGAUGAAUGACCCCCUCUCUGCCAUCGAUGCUGAGCAGCUGGAGAAGAACGUGGUUGAAGCCUUCAAGACCAUGCACAAGUGCGUGAAGCAGUUCAAGGACAUGCCAGGUAGGGAGCCAAGCCGGCCAAUCCCCUCCUCCCUGCCUCUGCCGCCUGCCUCUCAUGCGUUUCUGUCUUACCCGGCAGCCUGCCAGGAAGUGGCCUUGGACAUCCGGGCCCGCAUCGAGGAGUUCAAACCAUACAUCCCACUGAUCCAGGGGCUGCGCAACCCUGGCAUGCGGAUCCGGCACUGGGAGACACUGUCCAACCAGAUCAACAUCAAUGUCAGGCCCAAGGCCAACCUGACCUUUGCUCGCUGCCUGGAGAUGAACCUGCAGGACCAUAUCGAGAGCAUCAGCAAGGUGGCUGAGGUGGCUGGCAAGGAGUACGCCAUUGAGCAGGCACUGGACAAGAUGGAGAAGGAGUGGUCGACCAUCCUGUUCAGUGUACUGCCCUACAAGGCGACAGACACCUACAUCCUGAAGAGCCCAGACGAGGCCUCGCAGCUGCUGGACGACCACAUCGUCAUGACCCAGAGCAUGUCAUUUUCACCCUACAAGAAGCCCUUUGAGCAGCGCAUCAACUCCUGGGAGAACAAACUGAAGCUGACCCAGGAGGUUCUGGAGGAGUGGCUGAACUGUCAGCGGUCCUGGCUCUACCUGGAGCCCAUCUUUAGCUCUGAGGACAUCAACCAGCAGCUGCCUGUGGAGAGCAAGCGCUACCAGACCAUGGAGCGGAUCUGGAAGAAGAUCAUGAAGAAUGCCUACGAAAACCGGGAGGUGAUCAACGUGUGUUCCGACCUGAGAAUGCUGGACAGCCUGCGGGACUGCAACAAGAUUCUGGACCUGGUGCAGAAGGGCCUCAGCGAGUAUCUGGAGACCAAGCGGAGCGCCUUCCCCAGAUUCUACUUCCUGUCAGAUGACGAACUACUAGAGAUCUUGUCGCAGACAAAGGACCCCACGGCCGUGCAGCCACACCUGCGCAAGUGCUUCGAGAACAUCGCUCGGCUGCUGUUCCAGGAGGACCUGGAGAUCACGCACAUGUACUCAGCCGAGGGGGAGGAGGUACAGUUGUGCUUCUCCAUCUACCCCUCCAGCAACGUGGAGGACUGGCUGCGGGAGGUGGAGCGCAGCAUGAAGGCCAGUGUGCACGACAUCAUUGAGAAGGCCAUCAGGGCCUACCCCAUGAUGCCCAGGACCCAGUGGGUUCUGAACUGGCCUGGCCAGGUGACCAUCGCUGGGUGCCAGACCUACUGGACCAUGGAGGUGGCAGAGGCUCUGGAGGCCGGCGACCUCAGAAGCCAACUGUUCCCCCAGCUCUGCCAGCAGCUCAGUGAUCUGGUGGCCCUUGUGCGGGGGAAGCUGUCCCGCCUGCAGCGGGCAGUGCUGUCAGUGCUAAUCGUCAUUGAGGUCCACGCCAAGGACGUGGUGAGCAAGCUAAUCCAGGAGAACGUGGUCAGCGUGAAUGACUUCGAGUGGAUCUCACAGCUGAGGUACUACUGGACAAAUAAUGACCUGUAUAUCCGUGCUGUGAAUGCUGAGUUCAUCUAUGGCUAUGAGUACCUGGGCAACAGUGGGAGGCUGGUGAUCACGCCCCUCACCGACAGGUGCUACCUGACACUGAUCGGAGCUCUGCACCUCAAGUUUGGGGGUGCCCCAGCUGGCCCAGCUGGCACAGGCAAAACUGAGACCACCAAAGACCUGGGUAAGGCCUUGGCCAUACAGACCAUUGUGUUCAACUGCUCUGACCAGCUCGACUUCUUGGCCAUGGGCAAGUUCUUCAAGGGCCUGGCCAGUGCUGGGGCCUGGGCCUGCUUCGACGAGUUCAAUCGCAUCGACAUCGAGGUGCUGUCUGUGGUGGCGCAGCAGAUCACCACCAUCCAGAAGGCGCAGCAGCAGCGGGUGGAACGCUUCAUGUUUGAGGGUGUGGAGAUCCCACUGGUGCCAUCCUGCGCAGUGUUUAUCACCAUGAACCCGGGCUACGCUGGCCGCACGGAGCUGCCUGACAAUCUGAAGGCGCUCUUCCGACCCGUGGCCAUGAUGGUUCCAGAUUACGCCAUGAUCGCUGAGAUCUCCCUCUAUUCCUUUGGCUUUAAUGAGGCCAGUGUGCUGGCUAAGAAGAUCACAACCACCUUCAAGCUGUCUUCUGAGCAGCUCAGCUCCCAGGAUCACUAUGACUUCGGGAUGAGAGCCGUGAAAACUGUGAUCUCGGCUGCUGGGAACCUCAAGCGAGAAAACCCCAGCAUGAAUGAGGAGCUGAUCUGCCUCCGGGCCAUCUGUGAUGUGAACGUGCCCAAGUUCCUGCAGGAGGACCUCAAGCUCUUCUCUGGGAUCGUGUCCGACCUGUUUCCCACCAUCAAGGAGGAGGACACGGACUACGGCAUCCUGGAUGAGGCCAUCCGCGAGGCCUGCAGGAACAGCAACCUCAAGGAUGUGGAGGGCUUCCUGACAAAGUGCAUCCAGCUCUACGAGACCACGGUGGUACGACACGGCCUCAUGCUCGUCGGGCCCACAGGCUCCGGCAAGAGUACUUGUUACAGAGUCCUGGCAGCUGCCAUGACGUCACUGAAAGGGCAGCCAUCCAUCAGUGGUGGCAUGUACGAGGCUGUCAACUACUACGUGCUCAACCCCAAGUCCAUCACGAUGGGCCAGCUGUACGGGGAGUUUGACCUCCUCACCCAUGAGUGGACAGACGGGAUAUUCUCCUCGUUCAUCCGGGCGGGGGCCAUCACCUCCGACACCAACAAGAAGUGGUACAUGUUUGAUGGGCCGGUGGAUGCCAUCUGGAUUGAGAACAUGAACACGGUGCUGGAUGACAACAAGAAGCUGUGCCUCAGCUCUGGGGAGAUCAUCAAGCUCACAGAGGCAAUGACCAUGAUGUUCGAGGUGCAAGACCUGGCGGUGGCUUCACCAGCUACGGUCUCCCGCUGUGGCAUGGUGUACCUGGAGCCCAGCAUCCUGGGGCUCAUGCCCUUCAUCGAGUGCUGGCUGAGGAAGCUGCCUCCCUUGCUGAAGCCCUACGAGGAGCAUUUCAAGGCCCUCUUUGUCAGCUUCCUGGAGGAAUCCAUCUCCUUCGUUCGGUCCUCAGUGAAGGAGGUGAUCGCCUCAACCAACUGCAACCUGAUCAUGAGCCUCCUCAAGCUGCUGGACUGCUUCUUCAAGCCCUUUCUGCCUAGAGAGGGCCUCAAGAAAAUACCCUCUGAAAAGCUGAGUCGCAUCGUAGAGUUGAUCGAGCCCUGGUUCAUCUUCUCCCUGAUCUGGAGCGUGGGUGCCACUGGGGACAGCAGUGGCCGCACCAGUUUCAGCCACUGGCUAAGGCUCAAGAUGGAGAACGAACAGCUGACUCUGCUUUUCCCAGAAGAGGGGCUGGUGUUCGAUUACAGGCUGGAGGACGCGGGCAUCAGUGGCACCAACGACAGUGAGGAUGAAGAGGAGGAAUAUAAGCAGGUUGCCUGGGUGAAGUGGAUGGACUCCUCAGCUCCAUUCACCAUGGUACCAGACACCAACUACUGCAACAUCAUUGUGCCCACCAUGGACACCGUGCAGAUGUCCCAUUUACUGGACAUGCUGCUCACCAACAAGAAGCCCGUGCUGUGCAUUGGGCCAACAGGCACGGGGAAGACGCUCACCAUCUCUGACAAGCUCCUCAGGAACCUGGCACUGGAUUACGUCAGCCACUUCCUCACCUUCUCAGCCCGCACUUCAGCCAACCAGACCCAGGACUUCAUUGACAGCAAGCUGGACAAGAGGCGGAAGGGUGUGUUUGGACCACCUCUGGGGCGCAACUUUAUCUUCUUCAUCGAUGACCUGAACAUGCCGGCCCUGGAGACCUACGGUGCACAGCCACCCAUCGAGCUGUUGCGCCAGUGGAUGGACCACGGCGGCUGGUACGACCGCAAGAUCAUUGGUGCCUUCAAGAACCUAGUGGACAUCAACUUUGUCUGUGCCAUGGGCCCCCCGGGUGGAGGCAGGAACACCGUCACCCCGCGGCUGAUGCGUCACUUCAACUACCUGUCUUUCGCUGAGAUGGACGAGGUCAGCAAGAAACGCAUCUUCUCCACCAUCCUGGGCAACUGGUUGGAUGGACUCCUUGGAGAAAAAAGCUACCGGGAGCCUGUGCCUGGGGCCCCCCACAUUGCCCACUUCACGGAGCCCCUUGUGGAAGCCACCAUCAUGGUGUAUGCAACCAUCACCUCCCAGCUGCUGCCCACUCCAGCCAAGUCCCACUACACCUUCAACCUGAGGGACCUCUCCAAGGUCUUCCAAGGCAUGCUCAUGGCUGACCCGGCCAAGGUCGAGGACCAAGUGCAGCUGCUGCGUCUGUGGUAUCACGAGAACUGCCGCGUGUUCCGGGACCGACUGGUGAAUGAGGAGGACCGCAGCUGGUUCGACCAGCUCCUCAAGCGCUGCAUGGAGCAGUGGGAGGUGACCUUCAACAAGGUCUGCCCCUUCCAGCCCAUUCUUUACGGGGACUUCAUGUCACCAGGCUCCGAUGUCAAGUCCUACGAGCUCAUCACCAGUGAGAGUAAGAUGAUGCAGGUGAUCGAGGAGUACAUAGAGGACUACAACCAGAUCAACACGGCCAAGCUGAAGCUGGUCCUCUUCAUGGACGCCAUGAGCCACAUCUGUCGCAUCAGCCGCACCCUACGCCAGGCGCUGGGCAAUGCACUCCUGCUGGGUGUGGGUGGCAGCGGCCGCAGCUCCCUCACAAGGCUCGCCUCGCACAUGGCCGAGUACGAGUGCUUCCAGAUUGAACUAUCCAAGAACUACGGCAUGUCCGAGUGGCGAGAUGAUGUGAAGAAGGUCCUGCUCAAGGCGGGCCUACAGAACCUACCCAUCACCUUCCUCUUCUCAGACACCCAGAUCAAGAACGAAUCCUUCCUGGAAGAUAUCAACAACGUCCUAAACUCUGGUGACAUUCCCAAUCUCUAUACUGCGGACGAGCAGGACCAGAUCGUCAGCACCAUGCGGCCCUAUAUCCAGGAGCAGGGCCUACAGCCCACCAAGGCCAACCUCAUGGCUGCUUACACCGGGCGUGUGCGCAGCAACAUCCACAUGGUGCUGUGCAUGAGCCCCAUCGGAGAGGUCUUCCGAGCUCGUCUGAGGCAGUUUCCGUCCCUGGUCAACUGCUGUACCAUCGACUGGUUUAACGAGUGGCCGGCAGAAGCCCUGAAGUCUGUGGCCACCAUGUUCCUCAAUGAGAUCCCAGAACUGGAAUCCUCCCAGGAAGAAAUCCAAGGACUGAUCCAGGUCUGUGUGUACAUCCACCAGUCAGUGUCCAAGAAGUGCAUCGAGUACCUGGCAGAGCUGACCCGCCACAACUAUGUGACCCCCAAGAGCUACUUGGAGCUGCUUCAUAUUUUCUCCAUCCUCAUCGGGCAGAAGAAACUGGAGCUGAAAACUGCCAAGAACCGCAUGAAGAGCGGCCUCGACAAGCUGCUGCGCACUUCUGAGGAUGUAGCCAAGAUGCAGGAGGACCUGGAGAGUAUGCACCCCCUGCUGGAGGAGGCUGCCAAGGACACCAUGCUCACCAUGGAGCAGAUCAAGGUGGAUACGGCCAUCGCCGAGGAGACCCGGAAUUCAGUGCAGACAGAGGAGAUCAAAGCCAAUGAGAAGGCCAAGAAGGCACAAGCUAUUGCUGACGAUGCCCAGAAGGACCUGGACGAGGCGUUGCCAGCCCUGAAUGCUGCUCUGGCCAGCCUGCGCAACCUCAACAAGAACGAUGUGACCGAGGUACGUGCCAUGCAGCGGCCACCCCCGGGUGUGAAACUGGUCAUAGAAGCUGUGUGCAUCAUGAAAGGCAUCAAGCCCAAGAAGGUGCCUGGAGAAAAGCCAGGCACCAAGGUGGAUGACUACUGGGAGCCUGGCAAGGGGCUGCUGCAGGACCCGGGCCACUUCCUUGAGAGCCUCUUCAAGUUUGACAAGGACAACAUUGGGGAUGUGGUGAUCAAAGCCAUCCAGCCGUACAUCGAUAAUGAAGAGUUCCAGCCAGCCGCCAUUGCCAAGGUGUCCAAGGCUUGCACCUCCAUCUGCCAGUGGGUGCGCGCCAUGCACAAGUACCACUUUGUGGCCAAGGCCGUGGAGCCUAAGCGGCAAGCCCUGCUGGAGGCCCAGGACGACCUGGGGGUGACACAGAGGAUCCUGGAUGAGGCAAAACAGCGCCUUCGUGAGGUGGAGGACGGCAUCGCCACAAUGCAGGCUAAGUACCGGGAAUGCAUUACCAAGAAGGAGGAGCUGGAGCUGAAGUGUGAGCAGUGUGAGCAGCGGCUGGGCCGAGCUGGCAAGGUGCGCACCCUCCUCCUGCAAGGCGUGCAAGCGGGCCCGGCCCAGACAGGGGCCAGAAAGGACCAGGGCGCCGGUGGGUCCUGGGGUGGCUGUCCACACCCCCUCCCUGGCAACCCCAGGUGCCACAGUGGGUAGGGCCAGCCCCAGGCCCCUAGCCCAGCCUCCCAGAGCCCACCCCACGGGGCUGCCCCUCCAGCUCAUCAACGGGCUGUCGGAUGAGAAGGUGCGCUGGCAGGAGACGGUGGAGAACCUGCAGUACAUGCUCAACAACAUCUCCGGCGAUGUCCUGGUGGCCGCUGGCUUUGUGGCCUACCUGGGCCCCUUCACGGGCCAGUACCGCACGGUGCUCUACGACAGCUGGGUCAAGCAGCUCAGGAGCCACAAUGUCCCACACACCUCCGAGCCCACGCUAAUCGGGACGCUGGGGAACCCUGUGAAGAUCCGAUCGUGGCAGAUCGCUGGCCUCCCCAACGACACACUGUCAGUGGAGAACGGGGUCAUCAACCAGUUUUCCCAGCGCUGGACCCACUUCAUUGACCCUCAGAGCCAGGCCAACAAAUGGAUCAAGAACAUGGAGAAGGACAAUGGGCUGGAUGUGUUCAAGUUGAGUGACCGCGACUUCCUGCGCAGCAUGGAGAACGCCAUCCGCUUUGGCAAGCCAUGUCUCCUGGAGAACGUGGGCGAGGAGCUAGACCCAGCCCUGGAGCCGGUGCUGCUCAAGCAGACGUACAAGCAGCAGGGAAACACGGUGCUGAAGCUGGGGGACACGGUGAUCCCCUACCAUGAGGACUUCAGGAUGUACAUCACCACCAAGCUGCCCAACCCACACUACACGCCCGAGAUCUCCACCAAACUCACCCUCAUCAACUUCACCCUGUCGCCCAGUGGCCUAGAGGACCAGCUACUGGGCCAGGUAGUGGCAGAGGAGCGACCCGACCUGGAGGAGGCCAAGAACCAGCUGAUUAUCAGUAAUGCCAAGAUGCGCCAGGAGCUGAAGGACAUUGAGGACCAAAUCCUGUACCGGCUCAGCUCCUCCGAGGGCAACCCUGUAGAUGACAUGGAACUCAUCAAGGUGCUGGAAGCCUCCAAGAUGAAGGCUGCUGAGAUCCAGGCCAAAGUCAGAAUUGCAGAGCAGACGGAGAAGGACAUCGACCUGACGCGCAUGGAGUACAUACCCGUGGCCGUCCGCACCCAGAUCCUCUUCUUCUGUGUGUCCGACCUGGCCAACGUGGACCCCAUGUACCAGUACUCCCUCGAGUGGUUUCUCAACAUCUUCCUCUCGGGCAUCGCCAACUCAGAGAGAGCAGAAAACCUGAAGAAGCGCAUCUCCAACAUCAACCGCUACCUGACCUACAGCCUCUACAGCAACGUCUGCCGCAGCCUCUUUGAGAAGCACAAGCUGAUGUUUGCCUUCCUGCUGUGUGUUCGCAUCAUGAUGAACGAGGGCAAAAUCAACCAGAGUGAGUGGCGAUACCUCCUGUCCGGGGGCUCCAUCUCGAUCAUGACUGAGAAUCCGGCACCGGACUGGCUGUCAGACCGGGCUUGGCGAGACAUCCUAGCACUCUCGAACCUGCCAACCUUUUCCUCCUUCUCUUCCGACUUCGUGAAGCACCUCUCAGAAUUCCGGGUCAUCUUCGACAGCCUUGAGCCCCACCGGGAGCCUUUGCCUGGCAUCUGGGACCAGUACCUAGACCAGUUCCAGAAGCUGCUAGUCCUCCGCUGCCUGCGUGGGGACAAGGUUACCAACGCCAUGCAGGACUUUGUGGCCACCAACCUGGAGCCACGCUUCAUUGAGCCCCAGACAGCCAAUCUGUCAGUGGUGUUCAAAGACUCCAACUCCACCACACCCCUCAUCUUUGUGCUGUCACCCGGCACAGACCCUGCUGCCGACCUCUACAAGUUUGCCGAAGAAAUGAAGUUCUCCAAAAAGCUCUCUGCCAUCUCCCUGGGCCAGGGGCAGGUCAGGGCUAGGCAGGGAGGAAGGGAGUGGGCUGGGGGGUGGGCAAGCUGGCCCCCUGCUCAGUGCUCUUGCCCCUGCAGGGCCCUCGGGCAGAAGCCAUGAUGCUCAGCUCCAUAGAGAGGGGCAAAUGGGUCUUCUUCCAGAACUGCCACCUGGCACCAAGCUGGAUGCCAGCCCUAGAACGCCUCAUCGAGCACAUCAACCCCGACAAGGUACACAGGGACUUCCGCCUCUGGCUCACCAGCCUGCCCAGCAACAAGUUCCCAGUGUCCAUCCUGCAGAACGGCUCCAAGAUGACCAUUGAGCCGCCACGCGGUGUCAAGGCCAACCUGCUGAAGUCCUAUAGUAGCCUUGGUGAAGACUUCCUCAACUCCUGCCACAAGGUGAGGCACACUUGGUGCAGGCCUACCCUACCUGCCCCUGUCCCCGCUCCUCACCUCCCCUGCCUCCCACGUCCCCCAGGUGAUGGAGUUCAAGUCUCUGCUGCUAUCUCUGUGCUUGUUCCAUGGGAACGCCCUGGAGCGCCGUAAGUUUGGGCCCCUGGGCUUCAACAUCCCCUAUGAGUUCACGGAUGGAGAUCUGCGCAUCUGCAUCAGCCAGCUCAAGAUGUUCCUGGACGAAUAUGAUGACAUCCCCUACAAGGUGGGCCUGGGGCAGACUGGGGCCUGGGGGACUGGGCACUUAGGGGAGCCCUCACCCACCCACCCCAUAGGUCCUCAAGUACACGGCAGGGGAGAUCAAUUACGGGGGCCGUGUCACUGAUGACUGGGACCGGCGCUGCAUCAUGAACAUCCUGGAGGACUUCUACAACCCUGACGUGCUCUCCCCUGAGCACAGCUACAGCGCCUCGGGCAUCUACCACCAGCUCCCGCCUACCUACGACCUCCACGGCUACCUCUCCUACAUCAAGAGCCUCCCACUCAAUGAUAUGCCUGAGAUCUUUGGCCUGCAUGACAAUGCCAACAUCACCUUUGCCCAGAACGAGACGUUCGCCCUCCUGGGCACCAUCAUCCAGCUGCAACCCAAAUCAUCUUCUGCAGGCAGCCAGGGCCGGGAGGAGAUAGUGGAGGACGUCACCCAAAACAUUCUGCUCAAGGUGCCUGAGCCUAUCAACUUGCAAUGGGUGAUGGCCAAGUACCCAGUGCUGUAUGAGGAAUCAAUGAACACAGUGCUAGUACAAGAGGUCAUUAGGUACAAUCGGCUGCUGCAGGUGAUCACACAGACACUGCAAGACCUACUCAAGGCACUCAAGGGGCUGGUAGUGAUGUCCUCUCAGCUGGAGCUGAUGGCUGCCAGCCUGUACAACAAUACUGUGCCUGAGCUCUGGAGUGCCAAGGCCUACCCAUCGCUCAAGCCUCUGUCAUCAUGGGUCAUGGACCUGCUGCAACGCCUGGACUUUCUGCAGGCCUGGAUCCAAGAUGGCAUCCCAGCUGUCUUCUGGAUCAGUGGCUUCUUCUUCCCCCAGGCUUUCUUAACAGGCACUCUGCAGAAUUUUGCCCGCAAAUUUGUCAUCUCCAUUGACACCAUCUCCUUUGAUUUCAAGGUGAUGUUUGAGGCACCAUCAGAGUUAACACAAAGACCCCAAGUAGGGUGCUAUAUCCAUGGAUUAUUCCUGGAAGGUGCCCGCUGGGAUCCAGAGGCCUUCCAGCUGGCUGAAUCUCAGCCCAAGGAGCUGUACACAGAGAUGGCCGUUAUCUGGCUCUUGCCAACACCCAACCGCAAGGCCCAGGACCAGGACUUUUACCUGUGCCCCAUCUACAAGACACUGACUCGUGCUGGAACACUAUCAACCACAGGACACUCUACCAACUAUAUCAUUGCUGUGGAGAUCCCCACCCAUCAGCCCCAGCGACACUGGAUAAAGCGUGGUGUGGCCCUCAUCUGUGCCCUGGACUACUAGACUCAGACAGAAGGGCUGGGGCCAUUAAAGUUGAAUUUUCUAAGC
Molecule: small RNA, 13607 nt
Filed under: Pan troglodytes (chimpanzee)
Lineage: Eukaryota; Metazoa; Chordata; Mammalia; Primates; Hominidae
Description: retained intron
Source: RNAcentral